RNAcentral lists this transfer RNA (62 nucleotides) under Triatoma vitticeps. RNAcentral's name for it is "tRNA-Glu". It matches the Rfam family "tRNA". From Rfam's summary of the family: Transfer RNA (tRNA) molecules are approximately 80 nucleotides in length. Their secondary structure includes four short double-helical elements and three loops (D, anti-codon, and T loops). Further hydrogen bonds mediate the characteristic L-shaped molecular structure. tRNAs have two regions of fundamental functional importance: the anti-codon, which is responsible for specific mRNA codon recognition, and the 3' end, to which the tRNAs corresponding amino acid is attached (by aminoacyl-tRNA synthetases). tRNAs cope with the degeneracy of the genetic code in two manners: having more than one tRNA (with a specific anti-codon) for a particular amino acid; and 'wobble' base-pairing, i.e. permitting non-standard base-pairing at the 3rd anti-codon position. Lineage: Eukaryota; Metazoa; Arthropoda; Insecta; Hemiptera; Reduviidae. The record is from RNAcentral.
AUUCAUGUAGUUUAUCAAAACAUUUCAUUUUCAAUGAAAAAAAGAACACACUUCCAUGAAUU